GGACGUUCUAGUGGAGGCACAAAUUCAUAAAGAGAUAAACAUAUAUGAUCACCCAGCAAACGCAAUGCAAUUAAAACCUCAUAAAACACAAAAAUCACAUGCUCCCAGAAGCAUAGAUUAAAUCUACAGGUAAUAUUGUACGCCCAAUUUAAAAGUGCACAAGCAUUGGUUCAUUUGGUAAAAUACUAGGCUGUUUUAAGAUUAUGGACAAUAUUCAGGUUUGUCAUAGAAGGUCAACCAAGUCUAAGACUGGAAAACAACAACAACCAAAAAACAAAAAAAAAGAGGAAGAAUGUGCAUGAAUUCCAUAGAUAAAGUGAUUACACAUAUCUAGAAAUUUGUAUCAUAAAAGAGGCAUUUUCAUUGAACACCAGCCAUUCUAUUGUAUCAAUCAAAUGUUCACUAGAU
This 408-nucleotide unclassified non-coding RNA is filed under the name Hevea brasiliensis (rubber tree). Lineage: Eukaryota; Viridiplantae; Streptophyta; Magnoliopsida; Malpighiales; Euphorbiaceae. The record is from RNAcentral.